AGGUACAGGGACCUCAGGGACCCUCAGCAUGGCUGUGGGGUGGGUGGGGGGCAGCCUUGUGCUGUUGGGGCUGAUUUGGGCUCUAGCAAAUGGAGGAGAUGUUUUCUGGUUUUGUUGCUGUUUAGUAAAUUUUUUUUUCAAUUUAUGUUUUCGUUACUGACCUCAUUGUACCUGUCUCUUCCAAAAGCCGCUCUUUUGGCAGCAUCUAACCAUGGGCUUGUUAGAUGCUCUGAGUGUUUGGAGGAGACCAGUUUUGUUGAGAGCUGUUGGUCUAAUUUCUUUCACCAUGAGCACAUGGAUAGACAAAGAAGCAUUGUGGAGGCAGGGAAAAAUGAGUGCUGUGGGUCCCUUGUGCUUGCUUGGCAAAGUCAGGCAGGUGCGUCCUUGUGAACCAAAGGCAGGUAGGAGCGUGCUUGCAAUGGAAAUACAGGCAUCUUGUUGUGAAGCAAGAGGCCUGUGGUACAUCAAAAUAGAUAGCACACCUCUGUUUGUCCCUCCUUGAACCCUGGUCAGGUUUUGGGGAGAAAACCAAGAGGAGAGAGAGGAAGCUGGAUGUUCCACCUGUCUGUUACGUAGAUUUGUUUAUUCAGUGGUAUAAAGGCUGGACCUGCUCGCAGUGGCAUUGGAGACCUCAUGUCUGGGGUGGACGCAUCGCUGUAUGAGUUCCCAACUGCCAGGACAAGUUCUCCAGAUUCUUGCUGCAAGUGGGGUUCCCCAGCGACUGCGGAUCUGGAGGAUGUUAAAGUAGUAGAGCAAUUGGUGAUGUAUCUUUCUUCAUCAUUAUCGCUACGCUCAUGUAGUAAUGAUUAGACUCAUUGCACUGCUUAUUUCCUUUACUGCUAAGCUUAUCUUUUCACUAUAAGACACUGCUUAUAUUUAGAUAUAGCGUUGAGAGACAUGUUCUAGUGGGGUUAUUGGUGGUAGGUGGAUGGUUGGACUGGAUGAUCUUGUAGGUCUUUUCCAACCUAGCUGAUUCUAUGAUGCAGGAGGAAGCCAUGGAUUGUCUUUUUUUGUGCUUUAUGGAUACCAUCAGGCAAGAACUGGUUUUCCCAUCCUGCAGCCAGGAAUGCUCCAUCCAGAGGGGCGUGUGGCUGCGAGAGGAAUGUGUCUGUGGAAGCACAGCUCGUUCCUCCCCUCUGACAGGGGCAGAAUGUGUCUGCGUUUUCCUCCUGGCUCUUAUCUCCUGUGUUAUGUUGGGAAACGAGCUGAGCCACUGUGCCUCUUUAUGAUGGUUAGCUCUGUCUCUCUGCCAUCAUCUUUAUUCUCAGCUGUUCCUGUGUGUAAUGCUCCACACUCCUGCAGACCUGCAGAGCCUGAAGGCCUCCUUGGCAGCUGUCACUCACCUGGAGGUUUUGACCUGCUGCUGUGCUGUGCCUCCUGUCUGUACCUGCUUCCCAGGUGUCAUUUGCAAGACACUGCAGGUCCAGUAGGUUAGCAGUCAGCUAACACAAAAGUGAAACAAGCAUGAAAGUAGUCUUUUUUUUUAUUUCAUAGGCUUUAAUCUUCCUUGAAGUUUGUUCUGCUGUGGAGCACAAGUGGAAGCAAUUCACCUGUAUGACAAAGGGCUGGAGCCAGGUUCCACCCCUCCCAACCCUCAUUUAAGGGCUGGCUGCCGCCAGGGCUGGGUUUCUUCUUGGUGGUUCUGCUCUUUUGUGGUGUUUUGUUUGCCCUGUUCCUCAGAGAGGGGGAUGGAGUUGCAACUGAAAUGGACUCUUCUGGUCUAAUGUCCGGCCCCCUCCCGCAUGCUCAGAUCAGCCAAGUUUGCAAGGCCUGGCUCUUGGUUGGUGAGUUGUGCCCAAGGAAGAAAUAGCUUGGAAAAGGUGGUGUCAGCCAGGAUCCUGCCCAGUGCACUGAUGUCUCAUUGUUUGGAUCUAUUGAAAACCGCCUUGACGCCAAAAGAAUGUUUGCAUCGUUUCUGUGCUGACUGUGUCAGUACAGCCCUGAGGACUGGGUCAGCUCAUGCUGCAAGUGGAUGGUAUCACAGUAUGAAUGAAGGUCAGCGUAAGAGCAGCUGCUGAUGGGAGGAAGGAAGUCCAGGCAAAUGAACUCUAAAGCAUCUCCCAGUACAGUACCAGAGGAGGCUGUAAUGAUGUCGGGGGCUUCCCAGCAGGAAGGUGGCUCAUUCAAAUGCAAGCCCAAACCCUUGUGGCCUCCAAGCUGGAGGCAGCCCGGAGGCAGUGUCUCCUUGGUCUAAUUGUGCAGUGCCUGAGCAAGAGGGUGACCUGAGAUGGCUGCGCUAGAGUCAUCUUAAUUUCUCUGUUAUUUUACUUCAGCCCCAGAACCCCGGUACCUCUCUGGUUCCCACUGGGGAAGCAGUGUGAAGGAGGCGAGCCCUUAGCAGGAAGGUGGCGGUGCCCGGAGCUCUCCAUCAGAUCUGUGCCCAUCUCAUCAGCUUUGGAGGUGUCUCUGUGCACCUGGAGGAUGUGGUGCAGAGCUCCAAGUCUGGUAUUGAUGGGACACUGUGCAGUGGUGGUUCCCCUUGUCACUGAAAAGAAACCUUGCUGUUUGCGACAUAAACUAAGGGACUCCCUUGAGCUGGUCGUGCCAGGACUUGCAGCCCUCUCCCUGAGAUGGCUGAACUCCCCUGCUCCCUUCCUUUGGGGGUACCAGGUUGUGUCAUUUCUGGCCGAUUAACAGAGAUAUCAGAGUUGGAGGGUGUCCUUUAGAAGGGUUUAGUUAGAAAAGCACUCUUUGCCUUGAGGUUUGGCACCCUGAGAAAAUGAUUUGGUAGGUGGAAAGCAGCGGUGCACUCUCUGCUUCUCUCCUCCCAUGUGCAGGCAUCACACUCCUCAGAAACGUGGUGCUGCUGGAUAACACGUUACUGACAAUAACGUGAGUCUCUUUCUUUGUGGCUGAUCUGUUUCUCUGUUGUAGGACCCAUCUGGUGCAGGCAAUCUGGUGCUGCCCCAAGCACCUAGUGUCCAGGGGGGCAGAGUCCUGCAUCCUUCCAUCAACCAGUCAGGCACUGUGUGAGACCAAGGUGUGUGACUUGGGGUUGGAUCUCAUGGUACAAAUCCAUCUGUAAAGCUAGAUGCGUAGCUGAGAAGUACCUGGCCUGAUAACGUGAGUUCUGUGCCGAGAUGGGAUCUGAAGGCUUUGCCAGUGCUGUAACUGCCAGCAUUUCAGCACCUGGCACCACGUUCGACUGUUAGCGGUCCUUUGGCCUCUUGAGUGUUUGAUGCAAGCUAGUAGUUGAGAUUGUAGGAUGAUUCCUCUGGCUUUGGCAACUCUUUCCUAUGACUGCUGGUUUUCCAAGGCCCGUGACCUUAAGCUUUCCAGCGAGGGGUGGUCGUGAAACUACUGGGUGACAUUUCCCCGUCUGAGAAUAAGGGAAAAUGAGUGUAAAAUUCCAGCUUUGGUGGUGAAGGUGUGUUCCUUGGAUGACAGAGGAAAUAGAAUCUGUUAUCUUAGUGGGUAAUACUGGCACCCUACUAGCAACAGCUGUAAAAUGUGCCUUGGCUGGUGCUGGAAGGGUGCUGUUAGUGGGCCCUGUGAACUGUUGUUAAAGACACACGCGUGUCCAGUGGCAGCUUUGUGUACUUUACUCACUGCCUGCUCCUCUCCUUGGGUGACCAGGUUACUUGCAGAGGAAUGCUCAGGUGCCCCAGCACAGCUCUCCCCUGCCUGGCUCAGCCUUGUUUCUCCAUCCAUCUUCUGGAGGACAAAUGCACGCUGCAAUGGGGCUGUACCAGCUGCAUGGGCAGCUACAGACUGCAGGCUGGGCAGCGUGGCCCUCAAGGUGAGGCAUGGCCAGCUUCUCAAGGGGGGAACCAAGUGUAGCAAAUGGGAAAGGCCUCUGUUGGUGGCAACGUCUUGCCUUAGGAGAAAGUGGUUUGCUUUGUCUUCUCUUCAUCCGUGGGUAUUGCAAAAUAGUCCACUGUUCAUGAGCUGGAGCAACCUGUGCUUUGUAUAUGAUGCUGAGAUUCAUGAAGGGUGUUGCUUUCAGUGCCAGCGAUCUUUUAAACAUUGCAUCUUUCCUCCUAGCUUAGAAAGAUACAGGUAGCACCUCCAGUGUGCUGAAGAGCCACUUAGCUUCAUAGGGGAAGAAAAUCACAUGUUGUAUGUUCUGGAAAGGGUUUAGAGAGUCUUUUUACAUCCUGCUUAGUGUGGUUGGCUGAAGUCUGGGAGUGUCAGACAGCUUUAGAAUCAGUGUUGUUACUUAGCUGUGUCAAAACACAUAUCACUUGGCUUCUCUCCAAGUGCUUUGACUUCUACAAGAAGUCUUAAGACUCUCCCUCAUCUCCAUUUGUGACCUGUAAAUAUUUGCUGAUAGGAGGUCUGUGUGGUGAUUCAUGAACUAUUUAGUUGAACGAUGCUGUCUUCUACUCUUGUCAUCCAUUUAGGAGGUUAUCCCUUGCGGCCCAACUGCAGCGCUCUGUCCAGUGCCACCUCCCACAGUGCAGGGACAGGAGGAAGCAUGAAUCCGAUGGCAGCAGGGAGCCAGAUGCAUGGCAAUAUGCCUUCUCGGGUGGGGGCAGGGAUGUGCCCCCCAGCAGGUGGCAUGGCUCACAGAGCACAAGGAGUGGCUGCCACCACCGUGCAUGCUGCUGCCAGCUCCAUCCAGAACUGGUGAGGCAUGAACAUUCCCUUGGUCUCAAUGUAUUCAAUCCAUUCCCUGUGUCACAGCUGGCGUUGAAAGCCACGGCUGCAGUAACCCAGAGUUGGGGGUGAUAUGAACGUACGCUUCCUUCAAGACUUGCCUUCUGGAAGCUUUUUCCUCUGCCUUCACUGUGUAACAAAAGAGGCCAGUUCCCAAUCAUUAUUUGGAGUGAAUGUCUGUUUCUUCCUUGCCUUCUCCAGGCCUCCUGGUUUAUCUCAGCAUGAACCAAGGGGAAAUGAUGGGUGCUGGACUUCUUUAUGGACAGUGAGCUAACAGCACGGCUGGCGUGAUCAACCACCAGGGCCCACCUUAUCCCGUGGGUGGGAAUAUGGCAAACAGCUCUGCAGUAAGGCGGUGCUGAGUGCUGGGCUUUGGUGACUUCAUGGGAUGGAUUGCAAAGCAGUGUCACGGACUGCUGUAGCUUCCUAGGGAUGGUAGUGAGUCCUGAAGUGAUGGGUCUUGCGGAUGUCAAAUUAACCCCUGCAACUAAAAGAAGCAAUAAGUCAG
Molecule: long non-coding RNA, 5107 nt
Organism: Numida meleagris (helmeted guineafowl)
Lineage: Eukaryota; Metazoa; Chordata; Aves; Galliformes; Numididae
Exons: 4
Source: RefSeq, a predicted model, not a curated record